CUCCUUCGCUCCGGGGACAGCGGUCCACACUUAACGUACUUCCUGAGAUUAACAAAGAAGACGCAGAAGCUCAUGAUAAGUUUGGUCAUUCGCGCAAAGAACGCAAUAGCUCAGGGAUCUACUACCUCAAAGAUCGUCGCCAUCCAUAUCGCUGGUGUGGAAUCGAAAGCACUGCCUGGAAUCGCAUUGUUCUUAUACCGUCUCAGCUGGAAGUCAUGGAGUGGUCCUUCGUGAAGUUGUAUCUCAUCGGAUCGGCGUUGAGCGCCUUCACGGUCUUCUUCUCCUUGAUGGACUCCUUCGGUGGACUCAUGUACGGCCAGGAUGACCUUAGGGUGUGGGCCCACUCCCAGGACCACCAGAGACCACUCACCGCCCCCAGCAUUAGGACAGGACCGACAGGAGCGAAAGACGAGGACUCGUCGUAAACGGGGGACCUACACAUGGAGGGAAUUGUAUAGCCGAUGAAGAGCAGGUGUCAGAUGGCGCAUUUGUAUCACACUAACCCGCUGUCCUUAUUCUUUAAAGAAACACAUUGUGUCGUGCACUAAGUCUGUUACUUGUAUAUAUGUAUGUAUUACCUUAAUGUAUGGAUCAGAAUGGCCAAGUCAAAGGCUUAGGUGCUGUAAAUUGUGUGUGUUAAGUCGUAUUAUUUAAAUAUUUAUUAUAUUCUGAUAAAUGUGUGAAACACUGUUUGACUUUAAAGACGUUUCUUGCUGCAACCCUAUCCAAGAAUCUGUUUUCUAUACCCAACAAAGGUUGUCAAAGUCUUAUAAGACUAUAAGGCAAAUGUGGCUCACUUUCCUUAUUGUUGAUAUUUUACAUAUUAAAGUUGUAUAACAACCUACAA
Gadus macrocephalus (Pacific cod) is the source of this 847-nucleotide long non-coding RNA. RefSeq lists it as uncharacterized. NCBI's taxonomy places the organism in Eukaryota, Metazoa, Chordata, Actinopteri, Gadiformes, Gadidae. The transcript has 2 exons. The record is from RefSeq and is a predicted model, not a curated record.